RNAcentral lists this ribosomal RNA (468 nucleotides) under uncultured bacterium. Its description in RNAcentral is "partial 16S ribosomal RNA". It matches the Rfam family "Bacterial small subunit ribosomal RNA", at positions 28 to 507 of the family's 1533-position model. The record is from RNAcentral.
GACGAACGCUGGCGGCGUGCUUAACACAUGCAAGUCGAACGGAAAGGCCCUGCUCUUGCGGGGUGCUCGAGUGGCGAACGGGUGAGUAACACGCGUGUAACCUGCCCCUGACUGUGGGAUAACUUCAGGAAACUGGGGCUAAUAUAGGAUAGGAGCUCCUGCUGCAUGGUGGGGGAUGGAAAGUUUCGGCGGUUGGGGCUGGACUCGCGGGUUAUCAGCUUGUUGGUGGGGUAGUGGCUUACCAAGGCUUUGACGGGUAGCCGGCCUGGGAGGGUGACCGGCCACCUUGGGCCUGAGAUACGGCGCAGACUCCUACGGGCGGCAGCAGUGGAGAGUAUUACACAAUGAGCGGAAGCCUGAUGCAGCAACGCCGCGUGCGGGAUGACGGCCUUCGGGUUGUAAACCGCUUUCGCCUGUGACGAAGCGUGAGUGACGGUAAUGGGUAAAGAAGCCCCGGCUAACUACGUG